UACGUAGGGGGCAAGCGUUAUCCGGAUUCACUGGGUGUAAAGGGAGCGUAGACGGCCAUGCAAGCCUGGAGUGAAAGCCCGGGGCCCAACCCCGGGACUGCUCUGGGAACUGUGCGGCUGGAGUGCGGGAGGGGUAGGCGGAAUUCCUAGUGUAGCGGUGAAAUGCGUAGAUAUUAGGAGGAACACCAGUGGCGAAGGCGGCCUACUGGACGGUGACUGACGCUGAGGCUCGAAAGCGUGGGGAGCAAACAGG
RNAcentral lists this ribosomal RNA (253 nucleotides) under uncultured bacterium. RNAcentral describes it as "partial 16S ribosomal RNA". It matches the Rfam family "Bacterial small subunit ribosomal RNA", at positions 524 to 776 of the family's 1533-position model. The record is from RNAcentral.